This is an RNA transcript of Mauremys mutica (yellowpond turtle), 3591 nucleotides long. It is a transcript of the gene named cilia and flagella associated protein 221, with no coding region annotated. The transcript has 26 exons. The record is from RefSeq and is a predicted model, not a curated record. Lineage: Eukaryota; Metazoa; Chordata; Testudines; Geoemydidae.
CCAGGGGAGAGGAGCUGGGCUGGGGAGGUGCUGCGGCUGCUGGCCCUGCUGUGCCCAGGGCAGGCAGGUUGCUAGGCUCCCCCUCCCUGCCCAUCGCCCCCUCUCACCCAUGGCUGUGGGCAAGGCUCUGGGCUGUGGCCUGCACGUGAGGUAAUGACAUAUCUUGGUACUCGUGGGCCUACAUUUCCAUGCCAACAUGGAGGUGGUUCAGUCAGCCCCUUUAGAAUUCAGUCAUGCAGAAAAAUCAUUUAAGAAAGUACCCACCAUCCUUUUGGACAGCCUCGUGGAGGAGCCUCACAAGGGAAAUGGUGUCCCCAAUCACCUGCUGGAGUCAAAGAUUUAUGCAAAACUUCUGAGAAACAAGGUCAUACAGGCUAAGCCUGCAGUAUUGCAUUAUGGAGGGUAUGAAAUCAAAAAACAUCACCAGCAGAUCCUGAAUCUGGUAAAUAUUUCUGGCGAUGUCAUAAAUCUUCACAUUAUACCACCCCAGACAAAAUACUUUCAGAUCAAAUACAACAAAACACAUCGGCUUGUCCCCGGCUUGUCAUUUGCAGUUACAGUUGAUUUUUGUCCUGAUGAGUGGCGAUAUUACUAUGACUGUAUCCGAAUUCACUGUCAGGGAGAUGACACUUUGCUUGUUCCUAUCCAUGGCUACCCUGCUGUGAAUGUUGUAGAAUUUCCAUCAUUUAUAAGCUUAUCAGAUGUUUCACUUGGACAGAGCAAGGAGUAUGUGAUCCCUUUGCAGUGCAGCUGUCCCAUAGAGUUUGAAUUCCAUAUCGAUUACAUUCAGCCUCACAAAGCCUUUACCAUUCAGCCAAUCUCAGGAAUAAUUCCAGGCAGUGGGAAAGUGGAUGUGGUUGUUAAAUAUGCACCAUUUGAAUAUGGAACAGCACAGAUGAAAAUGCAGUUGUGGAUUGCACAGUUUAACUCUAAACCCUAUGUAUGUGUAUUCACAGGAACAUCAACGCCCCAUGGGGGUUUAAUAAAGGAAGAAUUUAAAACACAUAAAACUCUCUCAGAGAAGAAAACAGUGUCACUAGGAAAACAAGUGGUACGGAGAAAAGACCAUUUAAAGCAUCCACAAUCCAGUCAAAUUCAGAAAGUAAAGGAGAUUGAAUACCAAAACCUGCGAUUCCCAGCAGAUUUGUCAAAUCCCUAUGCUGUGGCAACAGUUUUGAUUCAAGAGCCUGGCAAAUUAAAGAUUAAACAAUUGAAAGAAGUCCUGUACCAAGGUAAUGAAGGUGCAAAAACAAGACAGAUGAAGGAAGCUGUAUUUGAACUAAAAGUCAAACAAGAUAUUCAGGAAGAAGCAGCAAAUCAACUUAAGUGGCAAGUUCAUACAGGUAAAGAUCCAAUUUCUAUGAAAUUUAAGAGAGAGAUUAUCGAAGAACGACAGCAGGAAGAAGAGCAAUACAAGAUUGAAAGGGGAGAUCCCAUUAUAGAGAGAGAGUUUCAAAGGAAUACAGUGGAAGUUUCUUUCAGACGUUUUAUCCGGUCUGUCGAACAGUGUCCAAGUGUCCAGCCCAAGUUUGACCUCCUCCUUAACGACCCUUGGGCCAACAGACACAGGAUUCUAAGACGGUUUCAGCAAGCAGCUCGCCGGGUCCUGAUUCAGUGGCGGCUAAAUCGUGUAUUACUUUUGUUCCGUGGACUAGAGAGGGACAUCAAAGAGCAUAGUGAUGAAGAAAGCUCUGUAUCAGAAAACAGCAGUUUGAAAAUCAUCAGCUCAACAGCUAUGGAUGAAGAGCAUAAGAGCGUUGCUUUCAACUUGUCUGUAGAUCACAUAUUACCUUUCAGAUUCCCAACCUACCAUCCACCUCAGUGGUCUGAUGAACUGGCUCCCGAUGGUCUUGGUCCAGUUCCUGUCAAGUCUUUAGACAUGAAAGUCAAGCACAUUCACCCAUUCUACGACUUAAAGGUUCCUCAGCACUUCAGCAUUAUGGGGUACCAGCCAUUUUGUACACACUAUGCAUCAACAAGUUAUAAACCUCAAAAUCUUUCCCGACCAUUAAAGCAGGGAGCCAAGGAUGAGCUGAUCUCAAUAGUAACUUCUCCAAAGCCACAGCUCAGUCCUCCCUCGCCACAGGAGGAUCUACACGAACACCCAGGAGAGAAAUCCUUGGAAAGGGCCACGAGCUUUUUAAACCUGGCAGCUCCCAAAGCGUUACUCCAACCUCCAGACAGUCACUCACUUCGCAUAUUUAAUCCUAGUCCAGGAUUGUAUGUCUGUAUGCAGCCUUUGGACUAUUCAGAAACAAACAUUGAGUAUCAUCUUUGCCCUCAUCCAAAAUAUAGAUUCACCAAAGAAUAUCCCACAGGAUCCAGCAUUCCAAUUACACAAAAGAAAUUUCUGCAUCACAAGGAAGUCAUUCGAGGAGUAACGUACUGGAGACGAUUCCCAUCAGUGGUUUAUUCAGCCUUGUCUAAUGCUCCCACUCUGGCAAGCACAGUGAUGCAUCAUUGUAGUGAUCCCUACAAUUUAGAUAUGCUUCCAAUAGAGGUACCACCAAUGCUGGAUGACUUACCAGAGAGAGACAAGGAAAAUAUAAUUGGCUGUGAGACUGAAGCUGAGUUAAAAGUGGUUCUUACUCCAGAUAUGCUGAAAGCCGAAUUUCCACAGAUUGAACCAGGGGAAGAAGUCAAAAGUAAACUACUGAAAGAUGGAAGUGAUACACCCCUGGAUGUUAAACUUGCUUCCAGCAACAUAGUGGAUACCUCGGCUCCUCUUUCUGGAGACCCGAGAGACCAUCUGGAUUGGUAUUUACAAUCCCAGAAUAGCAAACUCAGAGAGAGACUGCAAGGACACAUGGAGAAAAUGAAGCAGAAAGCACUCAACAAAACCCUCAUUCUGGAAUAAGCUGGUUCACAAAUUCCACAACUCUGUCGCUAAUGUGCUGUAUCUCCACCCCACAGUAUUGCUGGUUCAGGACUUCUGUAUCUGUGCAGAACAGGAGAAUUCUGUAGACACCUAGUGGAUUUAGAACCUCACAAGAAGCUGAAGACCGAACAAAUGAGAGGGGAAGGGGAAGAAGAUGGAGGAAUUAUAUAUAUCUUGCAGGGGAAUCAUGUACAGCAGUACUUGGCCAUUAUGGCUGCAAAUCUGAGGACACCCACAAUACUGGUGUGGGCUGGCACCAAGAAGUUAAUUUUCUUUAAAAAAAUGUAUUGCUAGGACAAUUUAUAUUCUUCUAGCAACAGGAGAUGCACAGCAUUUUGGAAAUCAAGAAAUAAAAGGACAAAUUGAAAGCUGAGUUUACAGUGAUUCAUGAAAUAAAUCUGCAGAGCAGCCCAGCGUUUCUGAUGCAACUAACAAUGAAAAAUGGUAGUCACAAAAUAAUUUCGUACGCACUUUCCACAAGAGCUGCAAGUUAAAGUGUCCAGAGCUUGAGACAAAAUUUUUCAUUGUUUCCUAGAGGCUUUGAUGUUCACUUAACUAUCAGAACACUCCUUGUUAUGGAAGACUCAGACCACCACCAGUCAUCAGUAAUUUGGGCCAAAUUCUUCCCCCUGUAACCUCAGCGAAGUUUGACUCAGUUUAGUCGAUGCAGUGCUGGCAAUUCAGCACCAGUCCCCAACGUAAGCGAUGCAGCC